AGGGAAUCUUCCGCAAUGGACGAAAGUCUGACGGAGCAACGCCGCGUGAGCGAAGAAGGUCUUCGGAUCGUAAAGCUCUGUUGUUAGGGAAGAACAAGUACCGUUCGAUAAGGGCGGUACCUUGACGGUACCUGUCGAGAAAGCCACGGCUAACUACGUGCCAGCAGCCGCGGUAAUACGUAGGUGGCAAGCGUUGUCCGGAAUCAUUGGGCGUAAAGCGCGCGCAGGCGGUCCUUUAAGUCUGAUGUGAAAUCUUGCGGCUUAACCGCAAGCGGUCAUUGGAAACUGGAGGACUUGAGUGCAGAAGAGGAAAGCGGAAUUCCAUGUGUAGCGGUGAAAUGCGUAGAGAUAUGGAGGAACACCAGUGGCGAAGGCGGCUUUCUGGUCUGCAAUUGACGCUGAGGCGCGAAAGCGUGGGGAGCAAAC
Molecule: ribosomal RNA, 426 nt
Filed under: uncultured bacterium
Lineage: Bacteria
Description: bacterial SSU rRNA
Rfam family: Bacterial small subunit ribosomal RNA
Source: RNAcentral